Molecule: non-coding RNA, 93 nt
Organism: Paramarasmius palmivorus
Lineage: Eukaryota; Fungi; Basidiomycota; Agaricomycetes; Agaricales; Marasmiaceae
Source: the annotation of a GenBank genome assembly
ACACCAUUGGUGAAGUGGUUAUCAUGCUUGCCUUCCAUCAAGAACCGCUUGUCAAUGGAGCAAGCGGCUCGGGUUCGAUUCCCGAACGGUGUA